RNAcentral lists this ribosomal RNA (472 nucleotides) under uncultured bacterium. RNAcentral describes it as "bacterial SSU rRNA". It matches the Rfam family "Bacterial small subunit ribosomal RNA", at positions 355 to 825 of the family's 1533-position model. The record is from RNAcentral.
UGGGGAAUUUUUCGCAAUGGGCGCAAGCCUGACGAAGCAACGCCGCGUGGAGGAUGAAGGUCUUCGGAUUGUAAACUCCUGUCGACCGGGACGAAUGCACUCGACCUAAUACGUCGAGUUGUUGACGGUACCGGUGGAGGAAGCCACGGCUAACUCUGUGCCAGCAGCCGCGGUAAUACAGAGGUGGCAAGCGUUGUUCGGAAUUACUGGGCGUAAAGGGCGCGUAGGCGGCCUUGUAAGUCUCGUGUGAAAGCCCUCGGCUUAACUGAGGAUCUGCACGGGAUACUGCGAGGCUAGAGUUCGGGAGAGGAAAGCGGAAUUCCGGGUGUAGCGGUGAAAUGCGUAGAUAUCCGGAGGAACACCAGGGGCGAAGGCGGCUUUCUGGACCGACACUGACGCUGAGGCGCGAAAGCUAGGGGAGCAAACGGGAUUAGAUACCCUUGUAGUCCCUGAGCGGGCUGGCAAGGCGCAU